This 431-nucleotide ribosomal RNA is filed under the name uncultured bacterium. RNAcentral describes it as "bacterial SSU rRNA". It matches the Rfam family "Bacterial small subunit ribosomal RNA", at positions 29 to 507 of the family's 1533-position model. The record is from RNAcentral.
AACGAACGCUGGCGGCAGGCCUAACACAUGCAAGUCGAGCGAGACCUUCGGGUCUAGCGGCGGACGGGUUAGUAACGCGUGGGAACGUGCCCUUCUCUGCGGAAUAGCCACUGGAAACGGUGAGUAAUACCGCAUACGCCCUUCGGGGGAAAGAUUUAUCGGAGAAGGAUCGGCCCGCGUUAGAUUAGAUAGUUGGUGGGUAACGGCCUACCAAGUCUACGAUCUAUAGCUGGUUUUAGAGGAUGAUCAGCAACACUGGGACUGAGACACGGCCCAGACUCCUACGGGAGGCAGCAGUGGGGAAUCUUAGACAAUGGGCGCAAGCCUGAUCUAGCCAUGCCGCGUGUGUGAUGAAGGUCUUGGGAUCGUAAAGCACUUUCGCCAGGGAUGAUAAUGACAGUACCUGGUAAGAAACCCCGGCUAACUCCGUG